AAACUAAAUUAACUAAAAGUAAAAUUAAACUAAACUAAAAACGGUUAAAAGCUGUCGCGCAUUACAGUAAACUAUAAACAUUUAUGUUACUUUAAAUCAAAGCGCCAAAUAAAAAAACACACAAAUCAAGCUUUACAGACUAAACUAAAACAAAUACAAAUUUAAAAAAGUCACAAAUUUCCUAAAUUAAAACCCCUGCAAAUUCAAACUAAAUAAACGAAACCCACAAAACAUCUGCUAAAUCAAUAUGCACAGGACGAUGAGGUGCGCGUCCCAUCUGGGAAUGGCUUCAUCCAUAAGGUGUUGUACUGUAGUUCGCAUUAACGUCGCCCUCCCCGUUUCCCCUUCACACACUUUCAGAAGCACAUGUGACACUUCAUCACUCGGGACGCUGCUCAGAGCCAAAUUCAGCCCCGGCGGAGCAGCAUACACACACACACAAACACACACAAACACACAUUCAUGAUAGAGAGAGACGCUGGAGAGUUUUAACAGAGAGAGUGAAGUGAGGGGAUUCCGCAAGUACCUCAGGGGAAAAGCUUGAUAAUUCGUCUGCUCCUCUGGGUGGUGCUCAUGGUGGAGUGGGCCAGAAUCUGCUGUUGAGUCCUGCCAGUCUCCAGCUGGCUCAGCUUCAGGCCCAGCUCACACUGCACCGCCUCAAACUUGCCCAGACCACCAACACUGCCGCCGCAGCCACUGUCCUCAAUCAGGUCCUCUCCAAUGUGGCAAUGUCCCAGCCUCUCUUCAACCACCUUCGGGGUUCAAGCAUGGGUCAGUCCCAUGGCGGAGCCUUUCCACCUCCACCUAUAGCCUUCCCACCUCCGAAUGCUGCUCUGGGACAAAUGGUUGGUGGUGGCUUUACCCCAAAUCCCACUGGGAUCAGGCCCAGCACCUUCAGCGGAGUGUCCAUCCAGAAAUCUUGUCAACACAAUGACUUCAGCAAGAAAUCUGGAACAUACCCAGCAGAUAUGGACCGUCGCUUGCAGUUUGGAUAUCUGGGAGGAUCUUCUAAUAAAGUAUGUGAUGGGGGACAGUAUGGAGGAGCCAACACACAACCCAGAAACAAUGUCCAGCCUAAUUUCCAGAGAGACUUCUAUUCUUCUGAAAGCCCAGUAACACAAACUGGUUUCAAAGGAGGAUGCAGUGAUCAGAGUCUGGGAUCUCUUUCCUCGUCUGGCUCCAAAGAUCAAUGGAAAGGUCCGAUGAACUUGGGAAAGAUGGAUAUAGGAGCAGUUUCUGGGGGUUGGGUUCCACCUGGACCAGGAUUUGUUGGUCCGAGAGCAGAAUUGUAUAACCCAGAGGAACCCACAGCAGAUCCUAAGUUCAACUCGACUUGUGGGCCAGGGAUUGGCCCACCCAUUGGGCAACAAGGGGGAUUUCAAUCACAGCCACAGGUUGCCCAAGUGGAGGAAGAGAGGACUUUGUCAUUACAGCCCCACCAGUUUAAUGACUAUCACGGGACAACACCUUCACAUCUACCCCAUCAGUGCACCAUUUGUGAGAAGAAGGUUUACAACUUGAAGGACUGGGACCAGCAUGUGAAGGGCAAGUUACAUCUGCAAAACUGUUCGCUCUACAACGAAAGCCCGACGCUCACGGCAGUGCACUUUCCAGUGUCGUCUGAAGGAUGUCUCAACAUGGCGUUGAGUAACACCAUGGCGUACACAUCGGCUGCCAGUCAAGACAAUUCAACUGGAAGCACUUCCUAUUUACCCGCCACGGCCAUGAAGUCAUUUCCUCUCUCAGGGGCUGGAUUUCCUGUUCACCAAUCAGGAGCAAAGUUUGUUCAGCGGAAAGCAUGUCCAGGCCGCGUGGUGCACAUCUGUAACCUGCCGGAGGGAAGCUGCACCGAGAAUGAUGUCAUCAACCUGGGUCUUCCGUUCGGCAAAGUGACCAAUUACAUCCUCAUGCGCUCUACACACCAGGCUUUUCUAGAGAUGGCGUAUGUGGAAGCGGCUCAGGCUAUGGUUCAGUAUUAUCAGCUCCAGCCAGCCACUAUUAACGGACAGAAACUGCUGAUCCGCAUGUCGAAGAGGUACAAAGAGCUGCAGCUGAAGAAACCAGGAAAAGACGUCGAUUCAAUAAUCCAAGACAUCAAUUCACAGAGAGAGAGAGACGAGAUGCAGGAGACUGACAGGUAUCUGCCAGAGCGUGCUCGAUCCCGCAGUCCCAUCAGUCGAUCUCUGAGUCCUCGUUCGCACAGUCCCAGUUUCACCUCCUGCAGCUCUGCCCACAGUCCACCGGGACCAUCCUGUCGGCCCGACUGGAGUAACGGCAUGGGCCCCCGGCGGCCCUCCUGGGACUGGACAUCCCAUUCAAGAGGGGACGAUGACCCUAGAGAUGACUGGAGGAACGAAGAGGAUGACCGACCAAACGGAUGGCUGUCAGAGCGCAGGAAACCAUACCUUAAACCCGGCGAGCGCAUCAGUCCUCGAAUGGGUCCCGGGGACGAGCGGGGCAGAGACUGGUACUCUUACCACUCCGUAGAUGACUUUUACAAGAAGGACUCGCUGUAUAAGAACGAUAAACUGAGGACGCAGCAUCAGAGACAUGAAGGGAAGACCAAGAGAAGGGAAGAUUAUCAUAGAUCUCGACACUCUGAGUCAGACCUGACGGAUGAUAUGAGCUGCAGUCGGACACUUGAGGACAGAGGACGCAGCAAGAGGACGAGCCGGAGACCCGAGAAGGAGACGGAAAAUCAGAAAGAAGAACAUAAAGCCAAAGAAAGAUCGGAAUCUCCUCCUAACAGCAAACCUGCUGAGUCCUCAAAGUGUGACAAACUUGGUGACUCUGAGGCGCAGGACAGUGGAGACGAUGGAGAGGAGGAGGAGAGCUGGUAUCCUAAAAGCAUGGAGGAGCUGGUGACUGUGGAUGAAGUAGGAGGAGAAGACGACUCAAUAGUUGAACCUGAUCUACCUGAUCUUCAAGAGGACCACCAGAGAGUCGAGUCUGUUCUGUCAACAGCAGAGAGCCCUAAAACCACUGCAAAAUCCCCAACCGAAGCAGCAGAAGAGCCCGUGGUCGACCCCCCUGACCCUCCAGCACUGGAUCUGAGCCUUGAAGAAACCUCUGGAUGCCCUCAGUCCAGCCCUGGAGAACCAGCGAUCAUCCCAGAGCAGAUGGUCUCUCAGCUCAACCGCUUUCCAUCCCAAGAGUUCAGGAGCGCUUUGGAGGAGACCUGCACUGACGGCAGAACACACAUCCACACACACACCCCAGACGAUCCCCCAGAAAAUAGAGUUGCAGGGGAGAAGAUGACAAACUCCAGUAAUGAUGAGGGAAAGACGGCGGAGAUGGACAACAAGGAAGCAUCUCUCAAACUGGACAGUCAGAAGAAAGAUAUUCCUGACUCAUUAUCGGCUGCUUCACCUCAGGCAUCAGACAUCUCGGCUGCGUCGCCCUCUCAGGAGCAGGAGAAGGCCAUCAGUGAACACAGCAUACCAUUAGGUGUGGAGUUCAUCGUGCCGAGGACGGGGUUUUAUUGUAACCUUUGUGGCUUGUUUUACACCAGCGAACAAACUGCCAAGACGUCGCACUGCCGGAGUACAAUUCACUACAGGAACCUACAGAAGUAUCUGUCACAGCUGGCGGAAGAAAGUUUCUUGAACUUCCACGCGGAGUCGCCAAACACUGAAUAA
This is a non-coding RNA of Danio rerio (zebrafish), 3638 nucleotides long. NCBI's taxonomy places the organism in Eukaryota, Metazoa, Chordata, Actinopteri, Cypriniformes, Danionidae. The record is from Ensembl.